RNAcentral lists this non-coding RNA (143 nucleotides) under Canis lupus familiaris (dog). Lineage: Eukaryota; Metazoa; Chordata; Mammalia; Carnivora; Canidae. RNAcentral also lists the same sequence under 1 other name. The record is from miRBase by way of RNAcentral.
GUGGAGAGCAUGGUCACCUCUCGGUGACUUGAGAUAGGGUGCUGCUGGCCUGCCUUUUCCCCAGAGCUCCAGAUGGGCCUCAGGACAGUUGGUAGCAGCUCCCUACUGGUCCAGAGAGCCAGGCUGGCCGUGGUCCGGCCCCG